CUUUUUAGGGCCGCACCCACAGCAUUUGGAGGUUCCCAGGCCAGGGGUUGAACUGGCCCACACCACAGCCACAGCAACUCACGAUCCGAGCCUCCUCUGCGACCUACACCACAGCUCACGGCAACACCAGAUCCUUAACCCACUGAGUGAGGCCAGGGAUCGAACCUGUGUCCUCAUGGAUGCUAGUCAGCUUCCUUAACCACUGAGCCACAACAAGAACUCCUCAUGCAACUCUUUUAUGGCUAAAUUCACUGAAUUAAGCUGGUUUUCUCCUUCCUCACGCUCGCCCAAGGUCCUGAAGCUCCUCCUGCUAACUGGCUGCUCCACUUUAGAAAUGCCUUCAUCCUGAUUGUAAAGGGAGCGGGCCCUUGGCUAAGUCAGGGAGAGUCGUGCGGACUGGACCCGAGUAAACCCAACACAGACAGGCCCAGCUGUUCCCAAGAGCGGGAGUGGACCCGACUCCUGGCGAAGCGCAGCAUCUCAUUAACGCAGCUACCCCCGUCUGGACACCCGGCUCUUCCCCGAGCACAGCCCCUCGGCACCCACCAACGAGGGGGAGACGGGGCCGGCCCCAAGCCAUUUAAGGUCCGGUCCAAAGAGCAUCCUCCACACCUCGGAAGGACUCCGCCCCCAAUUAGCUUCCGAGGAGAUUCCUAUUCAGGGAACAUCAGAACCAAGCAAGACAAGAGCGGCCGCCGAGCCCGGCCCCAAGCUGGUCAGCAGACGGCCUCGGUGUGGCGGGUAAGGGCAUCCAAAGGAGAAGGCCCCGGGACCUCAGCUGGCCGAGGGGCCUGGAGCUGGCCUUCCUUCCUCCUGCUUCAUGGGAGCCCCCACCCUGAAUGAAUAAAGUAGUUCCUUAUCCGUGGCCCGUCCCAGCACGGGAGGCACAGUGGUGCAGCCCACGGGGUCCAGAUGGUCCGGGGCCGAGCAGGCUCUGAAAACAGCAAAGUUUGGACUUCUGUGCAUUUCCGCAGGGCCCAGCAUGUGCACACACAUGGGGGGCGGGGAAUGCAGGGGGCACCGGGCACUGCAGAGCUGAUGUGGCCACUGGCCCAGGUGAGCCAGGAGCUGCGGAGAAAGGAGCUGGGCUGACUGGCCAGAGGGCGGCAGCGCUGAGGGGUCCUCAGGCAGCAACUGGUCCCUUGAGGUUGGGCACUGUGGCUUGCACAGUGCGGGUGGCUUGUCCACGGUCACACAGAAGGUCUGGGGGCAGCGUCUUCGCUCCAGGCCCAGGCUCCCUCUGUCACACUGCACAUUCUCCAUCACUUCCGAGCCAACGAACUCAUCUUUGAUUCUGGGGUUUGGGGCCAGGAAAGGCGGUGUCCUUUCUUGCACUGGAAUGCCUCCUCUCCGAAUUGGAUUUUCCACACACAGUCUAGUGCCCUGAAAGAACAUUCUGUGUUGCUAAGUUUCAUAUCUGCGCUGUGCUGCAUGACAGUGAAAAGCCAUGUAGCUCCUGAGCUCCUGGCAGUGCAAGCGGAGAAGUAAAUUCUUAAUCCUGUCUUGUUUUAAAUUUAAAUAACCAUCAUUGUGUCAAUUAUCCCUCCACAGAGCUGGGGGAAGUUUAAACAGUGACACGUGGGGAGUGGCUGUCACACUGGCCAGCGCAGGGCUGGAGUACAGAGCAUCCUCAAGGGAAGGGGUCAGCCCAUUUCUUCCCCAAAGGGCUGGGCAGUAAGGGUUUCAGGCUUGUGAACCAUAUGGUCUCUGCGACCACUGCUCAGCUUUGCUGGUGUAGCACAAAGGCAGCCACAGACACAGGUACAAAAAUGGACAUGGCUAUAUGCCAAUAAAACUUUAUUUACGGAAACAGGCCAUGGGCCAGAUGCGGCCUGGGGGCUUAGUUUACCAACCGCAAUAGAGACUUCUUAAUCCCACUCCUGGGCGUCUAUCCAGAGAAAACCAUGACUCGCAAAGACACAUGUACUCCCAUGUUCAUUGCAGCACUAUUUGCAAUAGCCAAGACAUGGACACAACCUAAAUGUCCACCAACAGAGGAGUGGAUCAAGAAGGUGUGGUCCAUAUACACAAUGGAAUAUUACUCAGCCAUUAAAAGGAAUGAAAUACUGGCAUUUUUAGCAACAUGGAUGGACCUAGAAAUUAUCAUGCUAAGUGAAGUCAGCCGUACAAUGAGACACCAACAUCUAAUGCUUUCACUGACAUGUGGAAUCUGAAAAAAGGACAGACUGAACUUCUUUGCAGAACAGAGGCUGACUCACAGACUUUGAAAAGCUUAUGGUUUCCAAAGGAGCCAGUUGGGGGGGUGGGGGGAUAUGCUGGGGGGUGGGAUGGAAACGCUAUAAAAUUGGAUUGGGAUGAUCACUGUACAACUAUAAAUGGAAUAAAUUCAUUGAGUAAUAAAAAAUAAUAGUUAUAUACAUCAAAUGCAUUAUAUUAUAUAGGAGAUAAAAAAAUAAAAUAAAGCACAGGUUGGCAGGCCAAAAAAAACAAAAAAAAAAACUCGGCUUCCUCAUCUAGAAAAAGGGGACAAUCAUAGCACCCACUUCUCAAGGUGGUUAUAAGAAUUAAGUGGGAAUCCUGUGACACCCUCAACACAGGGCCCACACACAGUGGGCGUUUACAAAAGUACUUCGGGGAAAAGCUCUAACUCAAAAAGAUACAUGCACCCCAAUGUCCCGAGCAGCACUGUUUAUAACAGCCAAGACAAGGGCAACCUAAACGUCCACUGACAGAUGAAUGGAGAAAGAUGCGGUGUGUAAGUACAAUGGAAUAUUACUCAGCCACAAAGAAGAAUGAAAUAAUGCCAUCUAUAACAACAUGGAUGGACUUAGAGAUUAUGUUAAGUAAAGUCAGAGAAAGGCAAAUAUUAUAUGCUAUCGCUUAUAUGUGGCUUCUAAAAUAUAGUACGAAUGAACUUAUUUACAAAACAGAAACAGACGCACAGAUAUAGAAAAAACAAACUUAUGGCUACCAAAGGGGCAAGACGGGGAAGGGGGGUGAGUUGGGAGUGUGAGACUAACAGAUGCGCACUACUGUAUAUAAAACAGACACCCACAAGGUUUUCACUGGACAGGACAGGGAACUCUGUUCAGUAUCUUUUAAGAAACGACAAUGGAAAAGAAUUUUUUAAAAAGAAGAAGAUAUAUAUAUACAUACAUAUAUAAAACCAAAUCACUUUGCUAUACACCUGAAACUAACACAAUACUGCAAACAGAAACUAACUAUACUUCAACUAAAAAAUUAAAUGAAAAUUUUAUUUAACUUGUAAUGUCAGGGGACUGGCAACUAGAUAGGUACCGGGUGCCCUGACAAUGUCCUGCUGCUCCCUCCCUCUCCUGAGAGGUGGAACACUAUUAGCCUCAGUCUACAGAGAAGUGGCUGCUUCAAAGUCAAAGGCAAUGAAGUGACAGGACUAGAACCCAGGGCUCUGUUUCCCAGCUCCUUGCCCUAAUUGCUCUUCCUCUCGGGCUUUUCCAGUGGACAUCAAUCAGCCCUGCCCAAGCUUCUGCCGGGCUGGCAUUUGAACCACUUCGUCUGGUAAGAGGCUUGAACCCUCUUACCAGAAGGAAAUGGUUAGGAAAAACAAAGCCAAUUUCCUGAAGGCCCCGUGAUGUCGUGCUCUCCUGAUUCCUGUUCUGUCCACUGUUCUGGAGCCCUUGUCACCCUCGUGGAAGGCUGUCGGUCACCAGGACAUCACAGGACACUCCGAUACUCCGUGGCGGCCCCCCUUUACCGGGCAGGGUCGGGCGCUGCACGGCCGAGUGAUGAUGUGUCUGUCGCUCUUUGCGGCACUGCCGCCCACAAGUCCUCUGAAACCAAGGACUGCUCCCUGGUGACGGGUCACAAAGAGAUGCUUCUGCAGCUCCUUAGAGAGUCGCACAAUCUCACGGGAGCAGGCCCAGCUCAAAUGUGAACUGCGUGCUGGCUUCCAUCUUCCUCCAGGCUCCUCGGAGCAGAAGGGGGCGCCAAGGGCUUCUCCCCCAUCUCACAGCAGGUCUGCGGGGACGUUCCUGAGCAGAGGAGAGGGCGCUCAGGCCCUCGGACACGCCGGCCGUGACCACCAUGCUGGCUUUGUAGCAGCCAGGUGGUUGAGCCAAAACACCAGCAGAGGCCAAGUCUGAGAUGGGCAGCCAGACGGGGCGGGGGGGCCGCAAACCCCUGGGCCCAGCCCUCUCCUUCAGCUCCGGAGAGGGGCUGACAAUCAGAGCCCUUGUCCCAGAGAGCACCCGAAGCCUGGCCAGGCCACUGACUGCCUUCCACGAGGGACUGCCUGGUCUCCCCACAGAGCCACCUGGAAAUGGGGCAGAAGUGGCUGUUCGGUCGCUCACGCGCACGCAGAACUGGUCGGGCGUCUACACACAGGUUCAAAGCCAAGGAGGAGGUCCGCAGGCCAGGAGCUCCUCCAGCCAACACGGAGCAGAUGCCCUGCUGGCUGCGGCUUUCCUUUCGCAGCUGAGCGGAGGGCCCUGUGUGGCGCCCCAGGGCAGAGACGUCCUGGAGCCUUUUCAGCAGCACUCAAGGACAUGCCCAAACGUUAUACAAGUUUAAAAAAUUGAUUAAAAAAAAAAAAUUUGAAUGAUCUACCAUACCCUCUUCAGGCAGCACCCUGGGCACUUGACAGGUUCGGGUCUUGGCCCCGCUCCUGGCAAGCUGGCUCUUCUGCUGCCGUCUGCAGUUCACCUCGUGGCCUCUCUCGCCUCGGCCGGGCCUGAGCGCUCUUACUUUUCUUUCUCAACGGUGGGGGUGUUUGCUAAGCGCGCUGGGAAUCUGAUGGACAGGAGGCUGACCGCCAAACUUAAGGCCACUCGCAGAUAACUUACUUCUCUCCGCAAGACCAGAUGCCCGUGAGCAAAAACCGCAACGAGGCUCGGAAAAGACACCCCAAAAGCCAAGGUGAGCUGCUGAACUGCCGGUCCUCGUAGGCUCAUUAUGUUCCUUCAUUCUCUUCCUCUGGGCCCGAGUCACAUGCCACACGGCCAGUGGGGCCUGGAAUCUG
This 4957-nucleotide long non-coding RNA is filed under the name Sus scrofa (pig). RNAcentral describes it as "lncRNA (ENSSSCG00025029195.1)". The record is from RNAcentral. Lineage: Eukaryota; Metazoa; Chordata; Mammalia; Artiodactyla; Suidae.